This 182-nucleotide unclassified non-coding RNA is filed under the name uncultured Mycoleptodiscus. RNAcentral's name for it is "sequence contains ITS2". Lineage: Eukaryota; Fungi; Ascomycota; Sordariomycetes; Magnaporthales; Magnaporthaceae. The record is from RNAcentral.
CCACCCUCAAGCCCAGGCUUGGUGUUGGGGAUCGCCCCUCCCUCGCGAGGCGGCGGCCCUUGAAUUCAUCGGCGGUGCCGGUGUGGCCCUGAGCGCAGCAGCGAUGCAGCUCUCGACCCUCCGAAACCAGCCGCGCAAGACAGCAGGCGGUACCCUUCGCGGUCCACCGGCAAAAAUCCAAA